CGCCAGAGGCAUCGCUGGGUAGCUAUGUAGGGAAGGGAUAAACGCUGAAAGCAUCUAAGUGUGAAACCCACCUCAAGAUGAGAUUUCCCAUGAUUUUAUAUCAGUAAGAGCCCUGAGAGAAGAUCAGGUAGAUAGGUUAGGAGUGGAAGUUGUGUGAGCAAUGGAGCGGACUAAUACUAAUAGCUCGAGGACUUAUCCAAA
RNAcentral lists this ribosomal RNA (201 nucleotides) under Oribacterium sinus. RNAcentral describes it as "partial 23S ribosomal RNA". It matches the Rfam family "Bacterial large subunit ribosomal RNA", at positions 2727 to 2925 of the family's 2925-position model. Lineage: Bacteria; Bacillati; Bacillota; Clostridia; Lachnospirales; Lachnospiraceae. The record is from RNAcentral.